UCGGGAAUUUUGGGCAAUGGGCGAAAGCCUGACCCAGCAACGCCGCGUGAAGGAUGAAGUAUUUCGGUAUGUAAACUUCGAAAGAAUAGGAAGAAUAAAUGACGGUACUAUUUAUAAGCACCGGCUAACUUCGUGCCAGCAGCCGCGGUAAUACGAAGGGUGCUAGCGUUGUUCGGAAUCACUGGGCGUAAAGCGCGCGUAGGCGGCGAUAUAAGUCAGAGGUGAAAGCCUGGAGCUCAACUCCAGAACUGCCUUUGAAACUAUAUUGCUAGAGUGUCGGAGGGGAUAGCGGAAUUGCUAAUGUAGAGGUGAAAUUCGUAGAUAUUAGCAGGAACACCGGUGGCGAAGGCGGCUAUCUGGACGACAACUGACGCUGAGGCGCGAAAGCGUGGGGAUCAAACAGGAUUAGAUACCCCCGUAGUCCCUGAGCGGGCUGGCAAGGCGCAU
RNAcentral lists this ribosomal RNA (447 nucleotides) under uncultured bacterium. RNAcentral's name for it is "bacterial SSU rRNA". It matches the Rfam family "Bacterial small subunit ribosomal RNA", at positions 355 to 825 of the family's 1533-position model. The record is from RNAcentral.